Molecule: long non-coding RNA, 2988 nt
Organism: Bubalus bubalis (water buffalo)
Lineage: Eukaryota; Metazoa; Chordata; Mammalia; Artiodactyla; Bovidae
Exons: 4
Source: RefSeq, a predicted model, not a curated record
GCAAACUUCAGGACAUAGUGAAGGACACAGGAGGCUGGCGUGCUGCAGUCUAUGGAGUGGCCAAGAGUCAGAUACGACUUAGUGACUGAACAACAGCAAGACUCUCACAUACAUGGAAUCAACUGCAUGUUCUCUUCUCUUCCGCGUGGUGUUGGGCUUCAUCCACCGCUGUGCGGGUGUCAGCCCUUUACUGCCUCCUCCGAGCAGUGCUGUAUUGUACAGACUGCAGUUAGUCCAUCCAUUCUCCUGUGGAUGGACGUGUGGGCUGUUUCCAGUUCUCUCUUAUGAUAAAUAAAGCUCUGUGAACAUUCAUGUGCAAGUAACUGAGUACACACAAGUGUUCAUUUCUCUUGGGUAGAUAUCCAGGAGUGAAAUUAAUGAGUCAUGGUUGCAGUGGGCAUAGCAUUUCCCCUCCUACCAACAGUGGAAGGGAGUGCUGGCAUCAUCAGACCUCUAUUUUUUGCAGUCUGGUGGCUCUGCUCUGACGUGUCAGUGUGGCUCCAGUUUGUAUUUCCCCAAUGGUUUAUGAUAAUGAGAACUUCUUUUGAGUUCUUACUGGCCAUUGAUAGAGAUACGUUUUUGACCACAGCUUUUAAAAACUGAUAUGUGUUUCUCUUCCUUAAUAAGCACUAUAACUUGUUAAACAGGCAUUUACCACAUGAAUUGAAUUUUUUGCUCAUCUUUCAGUGACGAUUAUCAAAGAUAGAUGGAUAGGAAUUGAUCUUUGACAAGGAGCAAAGUCGUGUGUUUUCAUCCAGUUAUUCCGAAUUCCCACUCUCUGGGUUUCUGGCCAGUGCUGGGUGUAUGAUGCUCUUUCUUUCUAUUUUUUUUGGCCACACUGUGUGGCUCAUAGGCUCUUGGUUCCCUGAGCAGGGGUUGAACCUGCACCGUCUGCACGGGAAGUGAAGAGUCUUAACCACUGGGCCUCCAGAGAAGUCUCUGUAUGAUGUUCUUGAAGAGAGUUCUGAUACAUCAUAGGACUGAGAGGACCCCUCUGCCCGGAAGCUCACACAGGUGUGUUGGGGGAGGGAGCAGAAGUGCAGAGACUGCUGCUGAGAAGAGGGAGGAAAUGACGCACAGCCUCGAGAGAUGGAUUCUUGCCUCCUGGAGAAUCGUGGCACCAGAGAACUUUCUUUCAGUUUCAGGUGCUGCUUUCGCUGCAGACCGAGACCCUCCUGGCCCACACCGCCGGCAGCCACGGCAGCUCGCAGGCACAUGGAAUCGGGGUCCCUCACCCUGAAGCUUUCCGAGCUGAGCGUCCCGCACCUUGCAGGCCCUUGUCUGGGCACCUUACACUCACGCUUCUCUUUGGGCACCUUUUCGCUUUCUCAGUUGAAUGAAGCAGUGCAUGUGUUGUUUUUUUUUUGUUGUUGUUGUUGUUUUUAAUCUCAAUAAAAUUCCCAAACGGUGCCGUCAGACUCAGCAAGAGGUGCUAUGGGAACCCACCCAACCCACCAGCGGGAGGAGAACUGCGGAAGAAAAGGACUUGACUUGUUCCCAGGGGCGAGCGCUACGAUGCACGGCCAUUUUGGUCAGCACUGGCUGGUAUGUGUAUCCCAGUCUGUCUGCUGUCAAGGGCAUCCUCCCAGCGAAUGAACUCGUGGUUGUGAAGUGACCAUCACGCCCCCUCGCCCCAAGGCAUGGCCAAGGCAUCGGACCUUCACACAGGUGGCUCAGUGGUAAAGAAUCUGCCUGCGAAGCAGCAGACGCUGGAGACGCCGGUUCCAUCCCUGGGUCAGGAAGAUCCCUUGGAGGAGGAAAUGGCAGCCCAGUCAGGUAUUCUUGCCCGGAGAAUCCCAUGGAUGGAGGAACCUGGCAGGAAGGCAGUGGCGCGCCGAAGGAUAAAUUACAGUCACUGGGGUCGCAAAGAGCUGGCCACGACUUAGUGACCAAACCACCACCACCAUCUAUGGUCUCUGGUCGUGACUAAGAAAAGUGGACACGAUCUAGACAGAAGCAGCGCUUCCGCUAGUCCUGCAGAAGUGCAGGCAGAUGUCCUCCACAUGGUGGAUGGGCUGAGCGUCUGCAGGUGAAGGCGCUGUGCCCACCCCGCCUGUCAUUCUGAAACCGUCAUGACCUGGGGGCUUCUCAGAGCCGAUGCACCAGAUGUUCUUCAAGAAAACACCAGCAUGGGAAACUCAAUUAAAAACCACCCGAGUGAAUCUGGAAAUGGUAAGCAGCGACUCAACGGAGGUCCAGGCUACUGUUAUCCAUCUUUUUUCACACUACAUACCAACUUUUGGAAGCUCCGGUUUUAUGGUGUAACCCGCCAUGCCCGUGAGAGCAGCGGCCUGUGUCACCUCGUACGUGUACGGGGGCCUUGAAAUAACUGUGAAAGUGAAAAGCGAAAGUGAAAGUCGCUCAGCUGUGUCCGACUCUUGGCCACCAUGGAAUUCACCAUGGACUCUACCGUCCACGGAAUUCUCCAGGCUGGAAUACUGGAGUGGGUAGCCCUUCCCUUCUCCAGGGGAUCUUCCCAACCCAGUGGAAACUAGCAAACAUCUCAGACAAAUAAACAGAUUAACCUGACAAAACAGCAUUCACCACAGCCUUCGGCAGCAGUGGCUGAGAAGCCAGGCAGAGCCCUUGUCUCACCGCACCGAAGGCCAAAUUACAGUCACGGGACAAAUGGCUGUGACGUGACACGGCUUCGAGACACCCUCCUCUGGUGUACCGCCUCCUUCUCCGGCUGUCCGAUGUGGGGUCCGAUGUGUUGACAAGCGUGGCCACUUCACGUGCCCGGCGUGGGAACUGGAAUUGCGGCCAAGUCCAGCCCCAAGCUUUCCUCUGCGUGAGAGCACCCAUGACGUCAAGUGACUCGCAGAGGACACACCUGUCCACCGUGUCCCCGCGUGAGAUGCUGGUGAGUUCAGCGCGAGAUGAGAGCGCCGGUCCUUCCGAGUGUGCCCGACAGCGCCAGACAACCUGAAGCGAUGCUGAGUGCGAUUUUAAAAAGUACUAACAGAAAAAACGAAGUCAUUUCUUUGU